GUCUAUAGCCAUACUGCCCUGAACAAGCCCGAUCCCAUCUGAUCUUAGAAGCUAAGCAGGGUUGGACCUGGUUAGUACUUGGAUGGGAGACCACCUAGGAAGACCAGAUGCUAGGCG
This 117-nucleotide ribosomal RNA is filed under the name Pteropus alecto (black flying fox). The record is from RNAcentral. Lineage: Eukaryota; Metazoa; Chordata; Mammalia; Chiroptera; Pteropodidae.